UGUAGUUUCAAUGAUGAGGCAUAUAUGUCGACUAUGGGUGUUGGCUCCAACAAUUGGUCUCAAACCAAUGAAGUUGAUGAAGACGAAUAUGAAGUGGAUGAUGAGGGUGAGGGUUUGAUCGAUGCACCAAAAGGAAGGGCUUCCAACUACACCGUCGACGAAGACGUCUUGCUUUGCAACACAUGGGCGAAUGUGUCUAUAGAUGCCACCAUUGGAAAGGACCAAACUAGAGAUACAUAUUGGCUUCGGAUGAAGGAGUUCUUUGACACACACAACAAGAGUGGAAUUGAGCGCACCGAAAGAUCUCUUCGCUCCCGGUGGUCGACGAUCAAUAAAGAUUGUCAAAAGUGA
Molecule: ribosomal RNA, 351 nt
Filed under: Triticum aestivum (bread wheat)
Lineage: Eukaryota; Viridiplantae; Streptophyta; Magnoliopsida; Poales; Poaceae
Description: partial small subunit ribosomal RNA
Source: RNAcentral